UACGUCCGCUGGAUUAUGCCUGAACGCCUCUAAGGUCGUAGCCAAUCCGAGCUGAUAGCGCUUCUCAAACCCAUUAGGUGUUCGGAAGCUAGCGGGCCUAACAACCCUCUGAGAUCCGUUGGAGUCUGCGUCUGCAGCCCGGCGUCUCAUCCCGCUAUACCUAGGCCGCAACGAGUGGAGUUCGCUGCACGUGUUAGUACCGGAACUGGGAACGCCGUUGGCUUGAGCUCUGCCCAACGUGGAUAUACCUAGUUUCGACACCUAUCAACCGCCCGCAAACGACGGGACUUCAGGCUGGGAGCUGCGAGUUGUAGAGAUGCGUUCGCAUCGAUCCUCUCAGGCGACCCAUGCUUGGUGGUUUGU
RNAcentral lists this non-coding RNA (363 nucleotides) under Anopheles gambiae (African malaria mosquito). Its description in RNAcentral is "Eukaryotic large subunit ribosomal RNA". It matches the Rfam family "Eukaryotic large subunit ribosomal RNA", at positions 3100 to 3401 of the family's 3401-position model. Lineage: Eukaryota; Metazoa; Arthropoda; Insecta; Diptera; Culicidae. The record is from Rfam by way of RNAcentral.